This 465-nucleotide ribosomal RNA is filed under the name Vreelandella stevensii. Its description in RNAcentral is "partial 16S ribosomal RNA". It matches the Rfam family "Bacterial small subunit ribosomal RNA", at positions 338 to 795 of the family's 1533-position model. Lineage: Bacteria; Pseudomonadati; Pseudomonadota; Gammaproteobacteria; Oceanospirillales; Halomonadaceae. The record is from RNAcentral.
CCUACGGGUGGCAGCAGUGGGAAAUAUUGGACAAUGGGCGAAAGCCUGAUCCAGCCAUGCCGCGUGUGUGAAGAAGGCCUUCGGGUUGUAAAGCACUUUCAGUGGGGAAGAAAGCCUUGGGGCUAAUACCCUCGAGGAAGGACAUCACCCACAGAAGAAGCACCGGCUAACUCCGUGCCAGCAGCCGCGGUAAUACGGAGGGUGCGAGCGUUAAUCGGAAUUACUGGGCGUAAAGCGCGCGUAGGCGGUCUGAUAAGCCGGUUGUGAAAGCCCCGGGCUCAACCUGGGAACGGCAUCCGGAACUGUCAGGCUAGAGUGCAGGAGAGGAAGGUAGAAUUCCCGGUGUAGCGGUGAAAUGCGUAGAGAUCGGGAGGAAUACCAGUGGCGAAGGCGGCCUUCUGGACUGACACUGACGCUGAGGUGCGAAAGCGUGGGUAGCAAACAGGAUUAGAUACCCUUGUAGUC